This 467-nucleotide ribosomal RNA is filed under the name Lancefieldella rimae. RNAcentral describes it as "bacterial SSU rRNA". It matches the Rfam family "Bacterial small subunit ribosomal RNA", at positions 28 to 505 of the family's 1533-position model. The record is from RNAcentral. Lineage: Bacteria; Bacillati; Actinomycetota; Coriobacteriia; Coriobacteriales; Atopobiaceae.
GAUGAACGCUGGCGGCGCGCCUAACACAUGCAAGUCGAACGGUUAAAGCACCUUUUAGGUGUGUAUAAAGUGGCGAACGGCUGAGUAACACGUGGGCAACCUGCCCUCCUCUUGGGGAUAGCCUCGGGAAACCGAGGAUAAUACCCGAUACUUCAAUGUGGCCGCAUGACGACAUUGAGAAAGCUUUUGCGGAGAAGGAUGGGCCCGCGGCCUGUUAGCUUGUUGGUGGGGUAGAGGCCUACCAAGGCAAUGAUGGGUAGCUGGGUUGAGAGACCGACCAGCCAGAUUGGGACUGAGACACGGCCCAGACUCCUACGGGAGGCAGCAGUGGGGAAUCUUGCACAAUGGGCGAAAGCCUGAUGCAGCGACGCCGCGUGCGGGACGAAGGCCUUCCGGGUUGUAAACCGCUUUUCAGCAGGGACGAGGCGAAAGUGACGGUACCUGCAGAAGAAGCCCCGCUAACUAAC